Molecule: unclassified non-coding RNA, 389 nt
Filed under: soil metagenome
Description: partial contains 5.8S ribosomal RNA, internal transcribed spacer 2, and large subunit ribosomal RNA
Rfam family: 5.8S ribosomal RNA (bases 1-120)
Source: RNAcentral
GAUGAAGAACGUAGCGAAAUGCGAUAAGUAAUGUGAAUUGCAGAAUUCAGUGAAUCAUCGAAUCUUUGAACGCAUCUUGCGCUCCUUGGUAUUCCGAGGAGCAUGCCUGUUUGAGUGUCAUUAAAUUCUCAACCUUACUAGCUUUUGCGAAGUAAGGCUUGGAUGUGGGGGUUACUUUUGCUGGCUUCUAACGAGGUCGGCUCCCCUGAAAUGCAUUAGCGGUGCCCUUGUGGACCCCGACUAUCAGUGUGAUAAUUAUCUACGCUGUUAGGCGCCCACGCUUUAGUGCUGCUUCUAACCGUCCGGUUUCUGGACAACACAAAUGACAUUUUUGACCUCAAAUCAGGUAGGACUACCCGCUGAACUUAAGCAUAUCAAUAAGCGGAGGA